AUUGAACGCUGGCGGCAUGCUUUACACAUGCAAGUCGGACGGCAGCACAGAGAAGCUUGCUUCUUGGGUGGCGAGUGGCGAACGGGUGAGUAACAUAUCGGAACGUACCGAGCAGUGGGGGAUAACUAAUCGAAAGAUUAGCUAAUACCGCAUAUAUUCUGAGGAAGAAAGCAGGGGACCAUUUGGCCUUGCGCUGUUUGAGCGGCCGAUAUCUGAUUAGCUAGUUGGUGGGGUAAAGGCCUACCAAGGCGACGAUCAGUAGCGGGUCUGAGAGGAUGAUCCGCCACACUGGGACUGAGACACGGCCCAGACUCCUACGGGAGGCAGCAGUGGGGAAUUUUGGACAAUGGGCGCAAGCCUGAUCCAGCCAUGCCGCGUGUCUGAAGAAGGCCUUCGGGUUGUAAAGGACUUUUGUCAGGAAAGAAAAAGGCGGGGUUAAUACCCCUGUCUGAUGACGUACCUGAAGAAUAAGCACC
RNAcentral lists this ribosomal RNA (476 nucleotides) under Neisseria mucosa. RNAcentral's name for it is "bacterial SSU rRNA". It matches the Rfam family "Bacterial small subunit ribosomal RNA", at positions 30 to 494 of the family's 1533-position model. Lineage: Bacteria; Pseudomonadati; Pseudomonadota; Betaproteobacteria; Neisseriales; Neisseriaceae. The record is from RNAcentral.